ACGCUCGACACCUACGGGAGGCAGCAGUCGGGAAUAUUGCGCAAUGGAGGAAACUCUGACGCAGUGACGCCGCGUAUGGGAAGAAGGUUUUCGGAUUGUAAACCAUUUUAGACAAGGAAGAAACAAGACAGUACUUGUAGAAUAAGCUCCGGCUAACUACGUACCAGCAGCCGCGGUAAUCUGAGGCGGGCUGGCAAGGC
RNAcentral lists this ribosomal RNA (200 nucleotides) under uncultured bacterium. RNAcentral describes it as "partial 16S ribosomal RNA". It matches the Rfam family "Bacterial small subunit ribosomal RNA", at positions 328 to 539 of the family's 1533-position model. The record is from RNAcentral.